Long non-coding RNA from Lemur catta (Ring-tailed lemur), 1566 nucleotides. RefSeq lists it as uncharacterized. The transcript has 3 exons. The record is from RefSeq and is a predicted model, not a curated record. NCBI's taxonomy places the organism in Eukaryota, Metazoa, Chordata, Mammalia, Primates, Lemuridae.
CGCGACCGGGGUCUCGGGUCCGCGGAAUGGGGCCGGCCCGCCGCGCGGAACUGCCCGGGAGGGGGCGGGGCGGGAUUCAGCGUCCCACGGGCCGGAGGCAGCACUUCCGUCUGCCGGGGGCUCUUCCCGUCUGAGGAGUUCUGAACCCCGAGGUACCGGGCUCGGAGUCCUGGCCGCCACCUGGCGCGACUUCGUUUGAGCUGAAGGAGAUUCCUUGGAAUGAAACCAAUGGGAGUCCAGGGUUUGGGAGAGUCUCAUCAGAGCAGAUGGGCCAGCAGCAGCCAGAAAGCUUGUUGCCUUUGGCUGAGAGCACUGUCCUGGAUCUGAACGUCUUGUAGGGAAGCUGAGGCCCAAGGACAGGAACAGACUUGCCAUGGACAUCCCGGGAGCCCAGAGGCAACUCAGGCCAGUGUAAGUCCGUCCUUCUGAAUCUCUUACAUCAAUUCCGAAUCCACACAGCAACCACGCAGGCCCAUGCUCAGGAGCUCCUUAGCCGUACCCAGCAGGGGCUUGGCCACCUGUGGCAGGACCUCCGCAGGAGGGUUCCAGGCUUGCCCAUUUCUGCCGAGCAACAGAGAGCCGCCACUGCCUUGUCUCCUGUCCUGCAGCCGCAAACAUGAAGUCGCAGGCCUUUUUUAUUCCCCCAUUAAUACUUAACAUAACAUUUACUCUGUGCCAGGCACCCACUGUAGUGCUCCACAAAGAGUAAUUUAUAUGAUCCUCAUUGGAUGGGAGGCUAUAUUGAUUUUGAUAUCUUUCCUGAGAAAAGCAUAUCCCUGCCUGUGUUCUGGACCUGGUACGUUUCUGUAAACAGGGGUCUUCUGAAACUUUGUCUCUGAUCCUCAGUUUCCUCCUUUGUGAAAUGGGACUGAGUCCCGGACCUGUCAGCACUGCCCCCUAAGGGCAGAAUGUAGAACCAAUGGGUGGAAAUUACAGGGAGGCAGAGUGCAGCUCAGAGUAGGUAAGAACUUUCCAGCUGAGCUGAUCACAGGAGAAAUGGGCUGCCCUGAGCAGUAGUGAACUUCCUGUUGCCUGAAGCAAUCAAGCAGAAGCAAGCCACAGGGCAGUACAGAGCUGCCUGGGCCCUGGGGCCACCUGCUUCGCUGGUUUUCAAAUUGUUCUCCAGCAGCAGACCCUCUGCCCCACAUUCCCAGGAAGUCACAGAGGCAGAGCUGCUGGGGAAGAGAAGGGGCUUCAUACGUAUUUAUUGAAUCAGUGAGCUGGUGGGGACACCCGGGCCCAGCCCGGAGGCUUCUAGGAACACAACAUGGAAAUCCCUGAUCUGCCCAGUUGUCACUUGGACAGACGAGGGAACCCCACGAGGGGAGUUUUCACUGCACUCUGCAAAGACAGCCCAGAACAAACGUCAAUAGCACUUGCCCGUGUCUGCAAAGAACACCUCUGGAAGGGCUCCCGCCGCUGCCUUCAGGGAGGGAACUUCCCCGGGGAGGACUUCCCACUAUUCCAUACUCUUGUUCCUUUUUAAUGUUUGGUGCAUGCAAGUAUUAUUUACAUUUUAAAAAGCACAAAUAGAUUAAUCUUGUUAUUCAAAAGAAAGCCACUUAG